RNAcentral lists this ribosomal RNA (219 nucleotides) under Triticum aestivum (bread wheat). Its description in RNAcentral is "partial small subunit ribosomal RNA". The record is from RNAcentral. Lineage: Eukaryota; Viridiplantae; Streptophyta; Magnoliopsida; Poales; Poaceae.
AUGGAGAAGGUUAAGCUGAAAAAAGAGCAGAUGUGCAUCCUGCAGAGUCAAGCAGAUAUAAUCCAUAACACAAGAAAGGCCAUGAAGGAAAUAGAGGUGGACAAAGACCUCCUCAAGGAAGAGAAGAAGAAGUUGGAGCAUGUCAUUGCUGAGCUCCUGAAGGCUGGUCAUGGGUGCAAAGAAAAGCUGGACAAGAUCAAAGAAGUUGUCAUGGAGUGA